Molecule: ribosomal RNA, 207 nt
Filed under: uncultured bacterium
Lineage: Bacteria
Description: partial 16S ribosomal RNA
Rfam family: Bacterial small subunit ribosomal RNA
Source: RNAcentral
AGUGUAGGCGGCUGCGUAAGUCGGAUGCGAAAGCCCCGGGCUUAACCUGGGAAUUGCAUUCGAUACUGCGUGGCUAGAGUUUGGUAGGGGUAAGUGGAAUUCCGGGUGUAGCGGUGAAAUGCGUAGAUAUCCGGAGGAACAUCAGUGGCGAAGGCGGCUUACUGGACCAAAACUGACGCUGAGGCUCGAAAGCGUGGGGAGCAAACA